UGGGGAAUUUUGGACAAUGGGCGAAAGCCUGAUCCAGCAAUGCCGCGUGUGUGAAGAAGGCCUUCGGGUUGUAAAGCACUUUUGUCCGGAAAGAAAUCCUUGGCUCUAAUACAGUCGGGGGAUGACGGUACCGGAAGAAUAAGCACCGGCUAACUACGUGCCAGCAGCCGCGGUAAUACGUAGGGUGCAAGCGUUAAUCGGAAUUACUGGGCGUAAAGCGUGCGCAGGCGGUUUGCUAAGACCGAUGUGAAAUCCCCGGGCUCAACCUGGGAACUGCAUUGGUGACUGGCAGGCUAGAGUAUGGCAGAGGGGGGUAGAAUUCCACGUGUAGCAGUGAAAUGCGUAGAGAUGUGGAGGAAUACCGAUGGCGAAGGCAGCCCCCUGGGGCCAAAUACUGACGCUCAUGCACGAAAAGCGUGGGGGAGCAAACAGGAUUAGAUACCCUGGUAGUCCACGCCCUAAAACGAUGUCAACUAGUUGUUGGGGGAUUCAUUUUCCUUAGUAACGUAGCUAACGCGUGAAGUUGACCGCCUGGGGAGUACGGUCGCAAGAUUAAAACUCAAAUGAAUUGACGGGGUCAUAGCUGUUUCCU
Molecule: ribosomal RNA, 592 nt
Filed under: uncultured bacterium
Lineage: Bacteria
Description: partial 16S ribosomal RNA
Rfam family: Bacterial small subunit ribosomal RNA
Source: RNAcentral